Canis lupus familiaris (dog) is the source of this 698-nucleotide long non-coding RNA. RefSeq lists it as uncharacterized. The record is from RefSeq and is a predicted model, not a curated record. The transcript has 3 exons. NCBI's taxonomy places the organism in Eukaryota, Metazoa, Chordata, Mammalia, Carnivora, Canidae.
CUUGGUUGGGGCUCCCGGGGAGCAUCCCGUCCCACGGAGCCAGCUCUCCUUCCUGCUACCCCAGGGAGGCCAGGCCAGGCCCCUGGGCAUCUUGCUCUGCUCGCAUCACCUCCCCCCAUUCGCCAUCGCCCAGCCACCCUGGAGAAAUUGGGAGCCUCCUGGCAGUCAUCCUAAGUCAUGCAAGGAGGAGCCCCGAAAGGUGGCACCCGGCCAGCCAGCGGUGUGUGGCAUGGCCUUUCAGCCUGCCGGCGGGACACAGCCCGAGAGGUGGAAGGUACCCGGGGCUCCCGGAGCCACGGUGGGGCAGGGCACACCCAGGCAAGCCAGCAGGCCGGGCCUAGCCGAGCAGCGGGAGGGCUUGGUGUCGGGGGUCCAGGGCUGGGGCGGCCUGGUCACCUCACCUUAUGCAGCUGACCCUGCGUGUCCCCCAGGAAAGCGAUCGUGUGCCCGUCUGCCUGGAGGCCGGCCACGGCGCUGACGGGCUGCUCGAGCUGCAGCAGGGGCUCGGCCUCCAGGGGCUGGCGGCCAGCAAUGGGGCUGGGGGUGUGCUCGUCGCCGCAGGGGACAAGCCGACGCGUCGGAGGAAGAAACACCAGAAGAAGCUGGCCCAGGGCAGCCGGGAGCCGGCGCCUCCCUGACAUCCUCCACCCAGGCGGUCACACGCGGCUGUCACACGACAGCGCCCGGCCACCCGCAGC